CCUACGGGGAGCAGCAGUGAGGAAUAUUGGUCAAUGGACGAGCGUCUGAACCAGCCAAGUAGCGUGAAGGAUGACUGCCCUAUGGGUUGUAAACUUCUUUUAUAUGGGAAUAAAAUGUUCCACGUGUGGGAUUUUGUAUGUACUAUAUGAAUAAGGAUCGGCUAACUCCGUGCCAGCAGCCGCGGUAAUACGGAGGAUCCGAGCGUUAUCCGGAUUUAUUGGGUUUAAAGGGAGCGUAGGUGGAUUGUUAAGUCAGUUGUGAAAGUUUGCGGCUCAACAGUAAAAUUGCAGUUGAAACUGGCAGUCUGGAGUACAGUAGAGGUGGGCGGAAUUCGUGGUGUAGCGGUGAAAUGCUUAGAUAUCACGAAGAACUCCGAUUGCGAAGGCAGCUCACUGGACUGCAACUGACACUGAGGCUCGAAAGUGUGGGUAUCAAACAGGAUUAGAUACCCGAGUAGUC
This 460-nucleotide ribosomal RNA is filed under the name uncultured bacterium. RNAcentral's name for it is "partial 16S ribosomal RNA". It matches the Rfam family "Bacterial small subunit ribosomal RNA", at positions 338 to 795 of the family's 1533-position model. The record is from RNAcentral.